This 484-nucleotide ribosomal RNA is filed under the name uncultured bacterium. Its description in RNAcentral is "partial 16S ribosomal RNA". It matches the Rfam family "Bacterial small subunit ribosomal RNA", at positions 30 to 507 of the family's 1533-position model. The record is from RNAcentral.
AUUGAACGCUGGCGGCAGGCCUAACACAUGCAAGUCGAGCGGAUGAAGGGAGCUUGCUCCUGGAUUCAGCGGCGGACGGGUGAGUAAUGCCUAGGAAUCUGCCUGGUAGUGGGGGAUAACGUCCGGAAACGGGCGCUAAUACCGCAUACGUCCUGAGGGAGAAAGUGGGGGGUCUUCGGACCUCACGCUAUCAGAUGAGCCUAGGUCGGAUUAGCUAGUUGGUGGGGUAAAGGCCUACCAAGGCGACGAUCCGUAACUGGUCUGAGAGGAUGAUCAGUCACACUGGAACUGAGACACGGUCCAGACUCCUACGGGAGGCAGCAGUGGGGAAUAUUGGACAAUGGGCGAAAGCCUGAUCCAGCCAUGCCGAGUGUGUGAAGAAGGUCUUCGGAUUGUAAAGCACUUUAAGUUGGGAGGAAGGGCAGUAAGUUAAUACCUUGCUGUUUUGACGUUACCAACAGAAUAAGCACCGGCUAACUUCGUG